CCUACGGGAGGCAGCAGUGAGGAAUAUUGGUCAAUGGGCGGAAGCCUGAACCAGCCAAGUAGCGUGCAGGAUGACGGCCCUACGGGUUGUAAACUGCUUUUAUACGGGAAUAACGCGCCUUACGUGUAGGGCUUUGCAUGUACCGGAUGAAUAAGGACCGGCUAAUUCCGUGCCAGCAGCCGCGGUAAUACGGAAGGUCCGGGCGUUAUCCGGAUUUAUUGGGGUUAAAGGGAGCGUAGGCCGCAUGUCAAGCGUGCGGUGAAAUGUCCGGGCUCCACCCGGGCCUUGCAGCGCGAACGGGCGUGCUUGUGUCCGCGGUACGCAGGCGGAAUUCGUCGUGUAGCGGUGACAUGCUUAGAUAUGACGAAGAACCCCGAUUGCGAAGGCAGCUUGCUGCAGCGGAACUGACGCUGAUGCUCG
This 420-nucleotide ribosomal RNA is filed under the name uncultured bacterium. RNAcentral's name for it is "partial 16S ribosomal RNA". It matches the Rfam family "Bacterial small subunit ribosomal RNA", at positions 338 to 755 of the family's 1533-position model. The record is from RNAcentral.